UACGAAGGGGGCUAGCGUUGUUCGGAAUUACUGGGCGUAAAGCGCACGUAGGCGGAUCGAUCAGUCAGGGGUGAAAUCCCAGAGCUCAACUCUGGAACUGCCUUUGAUACUGUCGAUCUAGAGUAUGGAAGAGGUGAGUGGAAUUCCGAGUGUAGAGGUGAAAUUCGUAGAUAUUCGGAGGAACACCAGUGGCGAAGGCGGCUCACUGGUCCAUUACUGACGCUGAGGUGCGAAAAGCGUGGGGGAGCAAACAGGG
Molecule: ribosomal RNA, 256 nt
Filed under: uncultured bacterium
Lineage: Bacteria
Description: partial 16S ribosomal RNA
Rfam family: Bacterial small subunit ribosomal RNA
Source: RNAcentral